UAGAUUACUAGUUUUCUUUAACAACUUAAACUUUUGGGCACACCUGGAGUCACCUAGCAAAAAGAAAAAAAAGUAAAAUUCUUCCUAACGUGAACUCUAAACAGAAACAGAGAGAAAUGCUGUCGUCUUUAUACCCUGGUCUCUGACUUGUAUUAAUUUUCGUUCAAAUCUGAACAGAGGGCUGUCUUCCUGCACGUCGUGAUCGCUAACUUGGAACGAACAGACGAGAAGAAAGGCAGCUACUCAACAUCACUCGCUUCAAACUCUUGAGCUACACUAUGACCAAAUGGUGAGAUUUGGCUGCCACUCUUUAGCACUUGAAGGCCCCAAAGUGUGGAGCGUAAUUUUGCGACAAUAGGCUACGAAACUCCGAACCCUAAAAUUAUAAGUUUGAGUAUGCUAAUCACUAGGCGACACCUCUAAUCCUGUCACAACAGAACAAGAUAGAAAUACUGUAUUGGUUUAUCCGAAUUAGUGCAUUUUCUCAUCACAAGUAGGCCUAAUGAUAAGGGUAAAUGGUUGCUGGGAGUGAAAGAGCA
Long non-coding RNA from Limulus polyphemus (Atlantic horseshoe crab), 539 nucleotides. RefSeq lists it as uncharacterized. The transcript is spliced from 3 exons. Lineage: Eukaryota; Metazoa; Arthropoda; Merostomata; Xiphosura; Limulidae. The record is from RefSeq and is a predicted model, not a curated record.